This is a non-coding RNA of Salmo salar (Atlantic salmon), 73 nucleotides long. The record is from Rfam. NCBI's taxonomy places the organism in Eukaryota, Metazoa, Chordata, Actinopteri, Salmoniformes, Salmonidae.
GGCCUGUAGCUCAGUUGGUAGAGCAUGGUGUUUGCAACGCCAGGGUUGUGGGUUCGAUUCCCACGGGGGGCCA